This 465-nucleotide long non-coding RNA is filed under the name Phascolarctos cinereus (koala). RNAcentral describes it as "lncRNA (ENSPCIG00000035247.1)". The record is from RNAcentral. Lineage: Eukaryota; Metazoa; Chordata; Mammalia; Diprotodontia; Phascolarctidae.
CUAUUAACCACAUUCACAACAAUCUCUGUUUAUACUGCCUUCCUGGUUGUUCUACCAAUCAAUUUGUACAAACCUAAAAAAAAAAGGCACCUCACCUUAAAUCUUAAAAGAUGACUCAGUGACCAGAGGUCACUGUUUGGAGAUGAAAAGUUAUUUAACAUCUACAAGGCAGGCAUAUAUGAGUUUUUCUUUUUAGAUUGAUUUGAAGAAUCUGAAGAGAAAUUAAGGACGCGAGACCUGUAGGCUUAGUCAGUGUGUUGACACUGAACAAACAGACUUGUAGAGGAGGGGCAGAAUUGAGAUAGAAAUUGGCUCCUCACACAGAAUGGUUCUUCUUAAAAGGAAUCUUCUUUUAUAAACAAGGACGGAGUAGAGUGCUUGUGAUUCCAGUCCUAUCAAGACCAGUGAAGGUGAAGAGUCCAGGUUCACAGUGGGUUUGUUCCCGUGUUGGGUGAACUGGGGACA